UGGUAGUAGCGCUGCCUGCAAACCAGCACCAAGGCUGCAAACGAAGCCAGAAAGAUGGUGGCCAGCACACCUAUGGCAACUAUCACCACGGUCUCCAUGCUUCCGGGGAGCUCCUGACUCAGUCCCGUUCACAUCGUCCUCAUGGGCUAAGGCUGCUGGAAGUGGCAAACUGGGGGAAGAGGAUGGCAGGAGCUAGGUUCCUCCACGACACCUCCAGAGACCUGAGGGCCUCAAGCUGCAGCUCCGGGGCACAUCCCGCUGCGCUCCCACGACGGCCCCGCGGAUGGCAAAGUCAGCGGCAUCGCCUAUGCAGGCAAUCAAAGGAUGUUGAUGGAUAAGUGUUUCAGGCAGAAUAAUGGCCCUCAAAGAUGUUGACACCAGAAUCUUCAGAACCUUUGCAUAUGUUACCUAACAUGACAAAAGGGACUUUGCUGAUGUGAUUAAGGUUAAGAACUUUGAGAAGGGAAGAUUAUCCUGGAUUAUACAGGUCGACGUUUAUUUCUUUCUGAACUUUCCUGGAGGAUCAUCGGCCAUACUCCAGCAGAAGGGUGGAUUUGAAAAAAUAACGUUUCCACGGCAACAGUGGCAGCAAUUCACUCCUGCUCUUUUUCUAUUUGGACACCUGGACAUGGAUGUCCGCUUCCCUGGGAGUACCAGUUACACCCUUUCCAAGUUGUCUGAAGGAAGACGUUGGAGAAUUCACAUGCUAUUUUAGCUGGCUCUGUGAUUGCAAUCACACAAAUCAUUACAUUCCAGCGAGAUCCCAUCAACAGAAGGUUUUUCCAUUUCAGUCUGUCAAGUGUUCAAAUUCUAUCUUCAGCAUAGUGAGCCCAAACAAAACCAAUUCCUUUCAUGCCCUCUACUGGAUAUUUGAAGUUAAACGUCAAUAACACUGCAAAGUAACCAAAAUAAUGAUACACAUAAUAUCCAGAAUGUUCUUUUAUAGCCUCUUUAAAUAAAAAUUCGUUUACAUUG
Molecule: long non-coding RNA, 975 nt
Filed under: Homo sapiens (human)
Lineage: Eukaryota; Metazoa; Chordata; Mammalia; Primates; Hominidae
Description: long intergenic non-protein coding RNA 1500
Source: RNAcentral